Ananas comosus (pineapple) is the source of this 326-nucleotide long non-coding RNA. RefSeq lists it as uncharacterized. The transcript is spliced from 4 exons. The record is from RefSeq and is a predicted model, not a curated record. NCBI's taxonomy places the organism in Eukaryota, Viridiplantae, Streptophyta, Magnoliopsida, Poales, Bromeliaceae.
UAGGCUACUUUGAAGCUUAAUGGAAAUAUUUAGCUAAUUAUGAAGCUAGUUCGGAACUAUACGAAGUUACUCGGGUAUUUGAUGCAGUUUGGGAAUUGUAUCUUCGCAGCAGGUUUCCGAACCACGUGGAGCUUAUUUGGUGACCUGGGAGGCUGGUUUAGAAGGUGUUCUACCUCGAGCAGGAGUGUGAUCGACUCUUGGAGUGAUUUUGGCUGACCUGUGGAAGCUCUGGAAGACUCGACUUGAGCAGAUCCAGGGACCGUUUGAGCUGAGUUUGGAGCAUCUCUUGGGCUGUUUUGAGCUUAGUGAUAGAGCCAUCUACAGGA